UACGUAGGUGGCGAGCGUUGUCCGGAUUUACUGGGCGUAAAGGGCGUGCAGGCGGUUUGCUAAGUCUUGGGUGAAAGCUCCCGGCUUAACUGGGAGAGGUCCUUGGAUACUGGCAGACUUGAGGAGGGUAGAGGAGAGUGGAAUUCCCGGUGUAGUGGUGAUAUGCGUAGAUAUCGGGAGGAACACCAGUGGCGAAGGCGGCUCUCUGGGCCCUACCUGACGCUGAGACGCGAAAGCGUGGGGAGCGAACCGG
RNAcentral lists this ribosomal RNA (253 nucleotides) under uncultured bacterium. RNAcentral's name for it is "partial 16S ribosomal RNA". It matches the Rfam family "Bacterial small subunit ribosomal RNA", at positions 524 to 776 of the family's 1533-position model. The record is from RNAcentral.